AUUGUGGUUGGGAGGCUGAAGGGAGCUCUGUGUUUGGAGGCACUAUACACCUGCAGACUGUUGAGGCGGCGUAAGGAAGCAAUGACAAGACCACCAGAAAUGAUUAGGGAGCAGCAGAUUGGAACAAGAGAGCAAACCACACGAGAGGAAUGCGAACUUCAUCCAGUUGUGGGUGAGAGAUGAGGACAGAAUGUUGUGUUUCCAUGAGAGCUAUCCCUGAGGAAAAUUUACUUUGCUGGUAUGAUGAUGAUCACUUUUACACCCAUUCAGUGGUUUUCAGUACUGUCUACAAAUAUUUAUGGCACUUACACAUGAAAGGUUUAGCCUUGGAAAAUUCAUUUUAAGCCAAGAAUACCCUGUACCUAAAGUUCACAACCAUCCAGUAGGAUGUGAAAAAUAAAGCAUCAACAACAGCUCAACUCAGAUGGACUGACUGUCCUGUAACAAUAGAUCAGAACACAAGAUGAUUGUUGGGGCAUAAAAAGAAAAUAUUAGAACUUCUGCUUAUAUUUAUUGUAGAACAUAUUGU
Canis lupus familiaris (dog) is the source of this 529-nucleotide long non-coding RNA. RefSeq lists it as uncharacterized. Lineage: Eukaryota; Metazoa; Chordata; Mammalia; Carnivora; Canidae. The record is from RefSeq and is a predicted model, not a curated record. The transcript is spliced from 3 exons.